GUAGGGGGCAAGCGUUGUCCGGAAUGAUUGGGCGUAAAGGGCGUGUAGGCGGCUAAGUAAGUCUGGAGUGAAAGUCCUGCUNUUAAGGUGGGAAUCGCUUUGGAUACUGCAUAGCUAGAGUGCAGGAGAGGUAAGUGGAAUUCCCAGUGUAGCGGUGAAAUGCGUAGAGAUUGGGAGGAACACCAGUGGCGAGGGCGACUUACUGGACUGUAACUGACGCUGAGGCGCGAAAGUGUGGGGAGCAAACAGGAUUAGAUACCCUGGUAGUCCACACUGUAAACGAUGAAUGCCAGGUGUAGGUGGUAUCGACCCCAUCUGUGUCGGAGUAAACACAAUAAGCAUUCCGCCUGGGGAGUACGGCCGCAAGGUUGAAACUCA
This 378-nucleotide ribosomal RNA is filed under the name uncultured bacterium. RNAcentral describes it as "bacterial SSU rRNA". It matches the Rfam family "Bacterial small subunit ribosomal RNA", at positions 527 to 903 of the family's 1533-position model. The record is from RNAcentral.